GACGAACGCUGGCGGCGUGCUUAACACAUGCAAGUCGAACGGAAAGGCCCUGCUUUUGUGGGGUGCUCGAGUGGCGAACGGGUGAGUAACACGUGAGUCACCUGCCCUUGACUUUGGGAUAACUUCAGGAAACUGGGGCUAAUACCGGAUAUGCGCUCCUGCUGCAUGGUGGGGGUUGGAAAGUUUCGGCGGUUGGGGAUGGACUCGCGGCUUAUCAGCUUGUUGGUGGGGUAGUGGCUUACCAAGGCUUUGACGGGUAGCCGGCCUGAGAGGGUGACCGGCCACAUUGGGACUGAGAUACGGCCCAGACUAGUACGGGAGGCAGCAGUGGGGAAUAUUGCACAAUGGGCGGAAGCCUGAUGCAGCAACGCCGCGUGCGGGAUGACGGCCUUCGGGGUGUAAACCGCUGUCGCCUGUGACGAAGCGUGAGGGACGGUAAUGGGUAAAGAAGCACCGGCUAACUACGU
RNAcentral lists this ribosomal RNA (467 nucleotides) under uncultured bacterium. Its description in RNAcentral is "partial 16S ribosomal RNA". It matches the Rfam family "Bacterial small subunit ribosomal RNA", at positions 28 to 506 of the family's 1533-position model. The record is from RNAcentral.